GAUCCUGGCUCAGGAUGAACGCUAGCGGCAGGCCUAACACAUGCAAGUCGAGGGGCAGCACGGUGUAGCAAUACACUGGUGGCGACCGGCGCACGGGUGCGUAACGCGUAUGCAACCUACCCAUAACAGGGGGAUAACACUGAGAAAUUGGUACUAAUACCCCAUAACAUCAGGACCGGCAUCGGUUUUGGUUGGUAAACGUAACCGGUCGGGUUAGUUGGAGUGGGCGAUGCGUUGGUUAUUUAGUCUGGUUGGGUUGGUAGGG
This 265-nucleotide ribosomal RNA is filed under the name uncultured bacterium. Its description in RNAcentral is "partial 16S ribosomal RNA". It matches the Rfam family "Bacterial small subunit ribosomal RNA", at positions 15 to 262 of the family's 1533-position model. The record is from RNAcentral.